RNAcentral lists this ribosomal RNA (125 nucleotides) under Vibrio parahaemolyticus M0605. RNAcentral describes it as "partial 16S ribosomal RNA". It matches the Rfam family "Bacterial small subunit ribosomal RNA", at positions 1419 to 1533 of the family's 1533-position model. Lineage: Bacteria; Pseudomonadati; Pseudomonadota; Gammaproteobacteria; Vibrionales; Vibrionaceae. The record is from RNAcentral.
AAAAGAAGUAGGUAGNUUUAACCUUCGGGGGGACGCUUACCACUUUGUGGUUCAUGACUGGGGUGAAGUCGUAACAAGGUAGCGCUAGGGGAACCUGGCGCUGGAUCACCUCCUUAAACGAUGAU